AGCAAUAUAAUCUAACUUGGUGACUUGCUAUGUGCUUUUAUUCAGUGGCAUUCUGACAUCACACUUCUGACAGUGAAAUUACAGUGCAGCACCUAAUACUUGUAUGAUAAGCUAGGUUAGUUCAAAAUCUGGGUCUGGGGUUAGAUCUGUAAUUUGUUAGUAAGAACUCAGUGUUGUAGUUCUCAAAAGUGCAAACUUGAAUCCUUGUGUCUUGACUCAGUUUUGUGGUUUUCUUUAGUUACAUUGUAACUGAAGAGAAAACAGCAACGCAGCUGGUUGGUGGGUGAGGGAACCAAACCAUACUGACCUGGGUGCUCAGAGUACCUUGGCGAAGACUGUAGCAUGCGGAAAUUACUCUCCUUAGUAGCAAACAUGACCUCUUCAUCGGUCAGCAAUGUCUAAUUUCAUUACGCAAUCUCGAUAGCACUGCAAGUUGAGUGAAAUAGGACUAAAUGACAUGGGGUGGUGGAUUUUUUUCUGGGUUUUCUUUUUGUAAUGUGAUCAAAAAUUUCCAGGUUUGGGCUUCAUGGGAAGACUUGUUACUAACUUGGGCUUAGAUGGGAAUCUUAUGAAUAGUUCAAGUUCUGUGGCUUGUCUGAAUAUGUUUAUACUCCAGACUUGGGGGACACUAGUGCGAAACAGUGGCUUAACAUGUUGGGAAUCAUUCCCCACCAUAAGACUUCGUCGUCUUCUGUAGAGUGAGUGCAUUGUUCAGAGUAGCUCUUUGAACUUCCCUAGCUUUAGGGAUGUGAUUGAUUAUAGUCCAAAAUGUUUAAUAAUCACAGGAAUACGUAAGUCUUCAAAGCACCUUCCUUGUUGCUUAGGACUUGAACUUUCUAUCAACUGUUGUUCCAGACCUCAAUUCAGUUAGCCUUGGUAUUUAACUAGCAUGCAUGAGAAAACAGCUACCACUUGUAAUGCUUUCUGCUCUAUAACUGGAAGGUUUGGUUCAUUUUUGCAUACGUACCGCUGAAAGCUUCAGGACUGUGAGAAUUGCCUUUCGAUGAAUCAAGAACAAUGGCUUGCUAUCAGGCUGUCAUGGCGGGGCAGUUACUCUAGCAAGCAAUUGUGAUUGCUGAUGGGUGAAAGCAAUAUGGUGACUUAGCUUCUUCUACAAUGUAGAUCAAACAAUGUGACAUGAGUAUCACUAACCUCCCUGAAACCCUGCUGGGGGCAUUGAAGUGUCAUAGUCUAUUAAAUCGGUAGCACGUGCUUGUUACCGUGGCUCAGUGAUUUUGAAUGUUAACAAAAGCUCAGGCUUCUGAACAGAAACAAAUUGAAGAGACUAUAUUUGAACACGGACUUGGGAUGGGGUGAUUCCCCCCCCCCCUUCCUUGGUCUGCUUUAAGAUUAGACUUUUGUACAUGCUAGUUAAUUUGAAUGUAGGUGUAAGCUGUGGAUUUUAUAGUAUAUUGGGUUUUUAAAACACUCAAAAACCUGGGAUUUAAAUGGGUUCCAGUAAUACUAUAUACUAAGGUGCUUGCAUUGUAUUUCAUAAAUCUUGUUGCAUCCAAAAUUAUUAUUUUUUUUUUAAUGAAAACUAAGUUCAGAGGUGUGAUGCCAGAAUGUAUUAUCAUACUGUUAGGCCCUUGGAGCAGAUCCCGGUGCUUUCUGAAAGAUGAAAGUAAUGUAAUGGGUACUCUUCAUCCAGGGCUGCUUGCAGCCUAUCAGCAAUGCAUACUCUGACUCUCCCUAAUGAAGAGAUGCGUGUGAUUAGUUUUGGUCUUUAACCUUAAUGGGGGUGCAUGUCUCCUAUUGUUAAUCAUUGUCAGCUGCAGUGACAGGAUCCACAGUCCUGCAUUUACUGCUGCCUUUUGUGUUAAUGAUUUUGGACAGGUUUUAGAGUUCUGGGGUGUUUGUUCUGGCCCUUUUCUUGGUUUUGGCUUUAGCUGAUAAUGUUUAGUGCUGUCUAGCUAGUGCAGUUCUUAAUGGCUCCCCACUAGGGAGAGAAUAUGGAGGAUUUAACUGCUCCUUUUUAUCAUCUGUCAUUGCUGCUAGAUAAUGAUUGGCAAUUUUUUAGACUCAAAUGUGCAGACCUCAACAGCGAUUGGUAAACACCAACCUUAGAAAUGUUUUUGAACACCAGUGCUGGAGAAAAAAAUGAAGGUGAAAUGGGCUCGGACGUAGACUAGGGAUAAUUGGAGAAAGGGGAAAGAAUGCAAAACGAUAUAGUAUCCCUUAUGGAUGGUCCAUGUGCAACAGAGAACUAUUUGUAUACCUGUGGCAGUAAUGAUUCCGGUGGGGGGGCUGGGAGAACAACCUGGAACUUGAAUUUUAAGGAUGAGCUUUGUGUUUCUUGUGCCUGUGCCAGGUAUAUAGUGAAGGCUAAUGACUUCUCCCUUAGAAGAACCUUUUUUUUUUUUCCUUCUCUGCUGUCCCAAUAAUGCAUAGAUGAGGCCUUGGAAGACAAAAAUUGAAGCAAAUACAUAGGAUUGCAGGGUAAAGAACUGCAGUGUUGUGUGCUUGCUGUAGUUAGGGUCAAAGCACUCAGAAUGAAAGUCACUCAAUUGACUGGGGAAGCAGGGAACUUGUAAACUGAUAGCUGCUUUAGUCAGGUAAACGUUGUCACAUACCUUCACAUAAGGGAUAGUAUAUUAUGGGUUGCAAACUUCAUUGUGCUCAGACUGGUGAAUAUAGGAUUUAGGCUUUUGCAUUUUAAAGAAGGUAUUAGGCUUUUGCAUUUUGAAGAAGAUAGUUUUCUUUCUAAUUCUGUCAUCUACUUAUUACUUACAUAAAGAAUAAUUUUAGAUCCCCUGCAUAAAAUUUCUUCCUUUUUUAUUUUUUUUUAAAUGCUAUAACUUAUUCCAGUCUUUAAUCUCUGGAAUUUUGCUCUUUAGAAUUUGGAAGUUAACUAGCAUUUUUCAAGCCUUUAUUACAUACCCUUGUCUUUCAUACUAACUUUUUUUUAUUAUUCUUUAGGUAAGAAUGAUUGAUGUUGGCUGACUUUGGAAUCUUUCUUACUUGAAGUGGAAUUAGAUGUUCUCAAGACAUACAACAUGGGCCAUCCAAGAAGGAAAGCCACAAAUUGCUUAGAUUGACAGACUCUUGGUGAGUGAAAUGACAUUCAAAUUAAUUUGGAGACAAGGCAGGUGCUAUCAGACUUGCUGUAUGAGUUUAAAAGAAUUGACAGGGCUUCAUGAAAAAUGUCAGACAGACACUUAAACCAAGAUAGUGGAGAGACAUUCUGACCCAGCAUUUUAUUUGAAGAUCAUGCUACUACAAAGCUGCCAAUAAUUACCACGUUCCUUGAUUUAACAGGGUAGUGUUAGAGCUUAGUAGGUGACAUUUGAAGUUUUGAUAAGUUGGAUUAACCAUAUUUUUUAAUUGACAGGAUCAAGUGAGCUGUACCAGAAAAUGAGUCAAGACCAAAGAGGAAUGAACUUGACAUUAAUAAAGAUACAUUAUUUUAAAACCUUGAUUGUCUCUGUUCAAGUAGGACUCCUAGGGUUGACUGAUUCUGUCCCCAAAUUUAGUGGUUUUAAAUUUGGUGCCCUAUACGUAAUAUCAUUUGACUGGGGGGGUC
Molecule: long non-coding RNA, 3523 nt
Filed under: Rattus norvegicus (Norway rat)
Lineage: Eukaryota; Metazoa; Chordata; Mammalia; Rodentia; Muridae
Description: long non-coding RNA NONRATT022636
Source: RNAcentral